This 254-nucleotide ribosomal RNA is filed under the name uncultured bacterium. RNAcentral's name for it is "partial 16S ribosomal RNA". It matches the Rfam family "Bacterial small subunit ribosomal RNA", at positions 524 to 776 of the family's 1533-position model. The record is from RNAcentral.
UACGUAGGGGGCGAGCGUUGUCCGGAUUUAUUGGGCGUAAAGAGCUCGUAGGCGGCUCGGUAAGUCGGAUGUGAAACCUCCAGGCUCAACCUGGAGACGCCAUCUGAUACUGCCGUGGCUUGAGUCCGGUAGAGGAGCAGGGAAUUCCUGGUGUAGCGGUGAAAUGCGCAGAUAUCAGGAGGAACACCAGCGGCGAAGGCGCUGCUCUGGGCCGGUACUGACGCUGAGGAGCGAAAGCAUGGGGAGCAAACAGG